CUACGGGAGGCUGCAGGCGAGAAAACUUUGCAAUGUGCGAAAGCACGACAAGGUUAAUCCGAGUGGUUUGUGCUAAACGAACCUUUUGACAGUCCUAGAAACACUGUUGAAUAAGGGGUGGGCAAGUUCUGGUGUCAGCCGCCGCGGUAAAACCAGCACCUCAAGUGGUCAGGAUGAUUAUUGGGCCUAAAGCAUCCGUAGCCGGCUCUGUAAGUUUUCGGUUAAAUCUGUACGCUCAACGUACAGGCUGCCGGGAAUACUGCAGAGCUAGGGAGUGGGAGAGGUAGACGGUACUCGGUAGGAAGGGGUAAAAUCCUUUGAUCUAUUGAUGACCACCUGUGGCGAAGGCGGUCUACCAGAACACGUCCGACGGUGAGGGAUGAAAGCUGGGGGAGCAAACCGGAUUAGAUACCCUCGUAGUC
RNAcentral lists this ribosomal RNA (422 nucleotides) under uncultured archaeon. Its description in RNAcentral is "partial 16S ribosomal RNA". It matches the Rfam family "Archaeal small subunit ribosomal RNA", at positions 323 to 746 of the family's 1478-position model. The record is from RNAcentral.